UGCUCAAGACUAACUGGUGUAGG
Molecule: non-coding RNA, 23 nt
Filed under: Cricetulus griseus (Chinese hamster)
Lineage: Eukaryota; Metazoa; Chordata; Mammalia; Rodentia; Cricetidae
Source: RNAcentral